GGGAAAAUACCUGUGAGAGCAUAUCAUUAACCAAAGAUUAUUAGUUAUCCAAUUUUGUACAUCUCUGAGGUCCUAA
Molecule: small nucleolar RNA, 76 nt
Filed under: Otolemur garnettii (small-eared galago)
Lineage: Eukaryota; Metazoa; Chordata; Mammalia; Primates; Galagidae
Description: Small nucleolar RNA SNORD112 (ENSOGAG00000023769.1)
Source: RNAcentral